Molecule: long non-coding RNA, 832 nt
Organism: Cyprinus carpio carpio
Lineage: Eukaryota; Metazoa; Chordata; Actinopteri; Cypriniformes; Cyprinidae
Source: Ensembl
GUUGUAUUAAUCAGGAGAAUCUGCUUGAUUACUAUCCCUUGCCUGAGUACACUGUCCAUGGCACACCACUGAUAAUUCUUUCCCUCUAGUCCAGAAUGAUGCCGAACAUGAGUGAAGAAAUCAAAAAGAUCAUCUGCAAGACCUUGCCAAAUCUGUCUGAAGAGACCCAGUGGCAAAUAAUAUGGAAACUUCAGAGCUCCGACUUGGAGUCAAAAGAGGACUUAAAAUAUGUACAACAGGAAGACAUUGCUGAUCUGUUACCUGUUAUCCAGCGCAGAAAACUCCUGGAUGCAUUUAAAUUAGAAACCGAGACAGUUGCAUUGGAUUUAUAAGUCAUUCCAACUUCGUCACCACUGAGUAGUGAUUGGUUGGUGUCUGGGUCUUCAUCACCAACUUUAUGCACUCCGCCUAAUUCUAGCUCAUCACAGCUAUCGGCCAUUUCGUCAUGUUCAAGCCAGGCAAGAAACAGCAAGCCAAGCAACAGACCUUCCACAUCUCAGAUACUGAAAACAUGGCCAGAAAUAUUCCAGGUCCCUUGGGAACAAAUGCCACAGGAAAUUCGUUAUGCAAUUGCAGAUGGCAAGAGACCUAAACCAGUGGAGCGACACCAGAUGGUACGAGUACUCGCGGAUGAAAUGAGAAGGCAAGAGGGGUCCAACUGACACAUAUGGAUGUACACGAUUUCAGCCAGAGCUUCCCCCAGAAGAAACUGAUGAAACUGUGGAGCAGCACCGCCAGAGACUGGAGGAGAUUUACAGACAGGAGGGUGCAGGUGGAGCAGAAAGAGCAGAAGUUAAAAAUCUAAUGGAGCUCACAUUCUCUCUACAAUAUC